This is a non-coding RNA of Parabacteroides goldsteinii dnLKV18, 150 nucleotides long. Lineage: Bacteria; Pseudomonadati; Bacteroidota; Bacteroidia; Bacteroidales; Tannerellaceae. The record is from Rfam.
CCCACUGUUCCGUCAGUGGUAGCCUACGGGCACGUGCAUCACGAGUAAUUGUUUUGUACGAAGCUGCUCCGGACAAAGUAACCCACCCGAAAGGGGAAGCCGAAGCCGUAAGGUGGACGCAACGACCGCCAGCAUCAGGAGGUUAGGGAG